UUGACCUCGGAUCAGGUAGGGAUACCCGCUGAUAUCCCUCAGCAGGUACGCUACGGACG
This 59-nucleotide ribosomal RNA is filed under the name Lasiodiplodia theobromae. Its description in RNAcentral is "partial 28S ribosomal RNA". Lineage: Eukaryota; Fungi; Ascomycota; Dothideomycetes; Botryosphaeriales; Botryosphaeriaceae. The record is from RNAcentral.